GACGAACGCUGGCGGCGUGCUUAACACAUGCAAGUCGAACGGAAAGGCCCUGCUUUUGUGGGGUGCUCGAGUGGCGAACGGGUGAGUAACACGUGCGUAACCUGCCCUUGACUUUGGGAUAACUUCAGGAAACUGGGGCUAAUACCGGAUAGGAGCUCCUGCUGCAUGGUGGGGGUUGGAAAGUUUCGGCGGUUGGGGAUGGACUCGCGGCUUAUCAGCUUGUUGGUGGGGUAGUGGCUUACCAAGGCUUUGACUGGUAGCCGGCCUGAGAGGGUGACCGGCCACAUUGGGACUGAGAUACGGACCAGACUCCUACGGGAGGCAGCAGUGGGGAAUAUUGCACAAUGGGCGGAAGCCUGAUGCAGCAACGCCGCGUGCGGGAUGACGGCCUGCGGGUUGUAAACCGCUUUCGCCUGUGACGAAGCGUGAGUGACGGUAAUGGGUAAAGAAGCACCGGCUAACUACGUG
Molecule: ribosomal RNA, 468 nt
Filed under: uncultured bacterium
Lineage: Bacteria
Description: partial 16S ribosomal RNA
Rfam family: Bacterial small subunit ribosomal RNA
Source: RNAcentral